AUGGGAGGGACGGGGAGAGGACAGGCAGCACUGGGACGUAUUGGGAUGCAUUGGGAUGCACUGGGAUGCACUGGGAUGCACUGGGAUGCAUUGGGAUGCACUGGGAUGCACUGGGAUGCAUUGGGAUGCAUUGGGAUGGCUGGGGACUUCGAGGGGGGAGGCAGCGAUGCCGAGGGGGGCGGGGCCACCACGAAGGCCACGCCCCCAUCAGACCAUGCCCCGCCCCCAAAGCACCGCCCCCUGUCAGUCAGGCCACGCCCCCAUCCCUCAGGCCACGCCCCCUCCCGUGUCCACGUGUCCGUACGGUCACGUUCCCAGCUCCCACCCGCGGGUGGGGGGCACCGCCGGGACAUGGGGGGGGUCCGGGCCCUGCGCCGCGAUCCCCCGUGGGGCCGUGGGCGGGGCGGGGGGGCGGGGGGCGCAGCGAUGUUUGUUCAGCUGCGGGGCGGGACAGCGGGGGGGGGGUGGAGGGACACGGGGGGGUCCACGGCCACAGCCCCGCGUGGGGGGGAAGGGGAAGGACGUGGGGGGAGUGGGGGUGUAAAGUGGGGGUGUAAAGUGGGGGCACUGGGAAGGACUGGGAUGGACUGGGAUGGAGGGGGGGUCUGGGGGACUGGAAGGACGUGGGGGGCUGAGAUGGACUGGGGAGCACUGGGAGGGUCUGGGACAGACUGGGGGGACUGGGAGAGAUACUGGGGAGCACUGGGAUGGACUGGGAGGGAGUCGGAAUUCUGGGGGUACUGGGGGGAUCAGGGACACUGGGAGAGACUGGGAUGGAGCUGGGAUUGUGAUACUGGGGGGACUGGGAAUAGUGGGACGGACUGGGGAGUGCUGAGGCAGACUGGGAUGGACUGGGAUGGCCGGGGAUACUGGGGGGACUGCGGAUACUGGGAGGAUGCACUGGGAUGGUUUGGGGGGGUAAUGGGGGAACCAAGAGAACCGGGACAAACUGGGAUGGACUGGGAUGAACUGGGAGUUGUGGAGCCCUGGGGGGCUGCAGAGCAGCUGUGGGGGCACAGCAGGGAUGGGAACUGGGAGCACUGGUGCCAAUGGUACAAUACACCCCCCACCCCCCAGUCGCCCUUGGGCUGCCCUUGA
RNAcentral lists this long non-coding RNA (1098 nucleotides) under Coturnix japonica (Japanese quail). Its description in RNAcentral is "lncRNA (ENSCJPG00005013967.1)". The record is from RNAcentral. Lineage: Eukaryota; Metazoa; Chordata; Aves; Galliformes; Phasianidae.